This 468-nucleotide ribosomal RNA is filed under the name uncultured bacterium. Its description in RNAcentral is "partial 16S ribosomal RNA". It matches the Rfam family "Bacterial small subunit ribosomal RNA", at positions 28 to 507 of the family's 1533-position model. The record is from RNAcentral.
GACGAACGCUGGCGGCGUGCUUAACACAUGCAAGUCGAACGGAAAGGCCCUGCUUUUGUGGGGUGCUCGAGUGGCGAACGGGUGAGUAACACGUGAGUAACCUGCCCUUGACUUUGGGAUAACUUCAGGAAACUGGGGCUAAUACCGGAUAGGAGCUCCUGCUGCAUGGUGGGGGUUGGAAAGUUUCGGCGGUUGGGGAUGGACUCGCGGCUUAUCAGCUUGUUGGUGGGGUAGUGGCUUACCAAGGCUUUGACGGGUAGCCGGCCUGAGAGGGUGACCGGCGACAUUGGGACUGAGAGACGGCCCAGACUCCUACGGGAGGCAGCAGUGGGGAAUAUUGCACAAUGGGGGGAAGCCUGAUGCAGCAACGCCGCGUGCGGGAUGACGGCCUUCGGGUUGUAAACCGCUUUCGCCUGUGACGAAGCGUGAGUGACGGUAAUGGGUAAAGAAGCACCGGCUAACUACGUG